UGAGUAACACGUAUCCAACCUGCCGUCUACUCUUGGCCAGCCUUCUGAAAGGAAGAUUAAUCCAGGAUGGCAUCAUGAGUUCACAUGUCCGCAUGAUUAAAGGUAUUUUCCGGUAGACGAUGUGGAUGCGUUCCAUUAGAUAGUAGGCGGGGUAACGGCCCACCUAGUCAACGAUGGAUAGGGGUUCUGAGAGGAAGGUCCCCCACAUUGGAACUGAGACACGGUCCAA
Molecule: ribosomal RNA, 229 nt
Filed under: uncultured bacterium
Lineage: Bacteria
Description: partial 16S ribosomal RNA
Rfam family: Bacterial small subunit ribosomal RNA
Source: RNAcentral